UGAAAGGAAAAAUGGUGUAGAGCACGAAUCUGACCUCAAUUCAUCCUAACUCCAAGUAUAUUGAGAGAUACAUGGAGUUGAAAUUUGAGGUACAUGAACUGAGUUGCUUCGAUUUGGCCUCAAAGCAACUCAGUCUUCUUGUCUGCAUUGGUAGGACUUCAGACAACCAAAGAAUUAAGAGAAUUGAGCAAGAUUAAGAGAGAAUCGAAGAGAUGAAAAUUUCUGAAAAAUACCUUCAAUGUAG
Molecule: long non-coding RNA, 244 nt
Filed under: Lathyrus oleraceus (garden pea)
Lineage: Eukaryota; Viridiplantae; Streptophyta; Magnoliopsida; Fabales; Fabaceae
Description: Pisum sativum (pea) long non-coding RNA (PSAT_LNC018802)
Source: RNAcentral